AGUCUGACAGAUUUUAUUUUUCAUAGAGUCAUGCUGGUUUCUAUUAAUCACUGCAUUUCCUUCAAGAUGCUUGCAGAUGGAUUUUUUAAUAAUUUGCUCCAGAAUUUUUGCAGAGAAAGAUGUCAGACUAACUGACAUAUAUGUCCCAGAUGCAGCUUU
Molecule: long non-coding RNA, 159 nt
Organism: Varanus komodoensis (Komodo dragon)
Lineage: Eukaryota; Metazoa; Chordata; Lepidosauria; Squamata; Varanidae
Exons: 4
Source: RefSeq, a predicted model, not a curated record